Molecule: long non-coding RNA, 874 nt
Organism: Actinia tenebrosa (Australian red waratah sea anemone)
Lineage: Eukaryota; Metazoa; Cnidaria; Anthozoa; Actiniaria; Actiniidae
Source: RefSeq, a predicted model, not a curated record
UUGAUUUUCCAGCAGAAAAGUCGUAAGCGUUCAAAAACUUUUGGAGAAAUUCCAGAACAAGUUUGAAGUUAUCCUGGCCAACACUACCAGACACAUCAACCACCAAGAUCACAUCAGACACAGUGSUGCAUUCUAGAAAGUGCCGUGAUCUUGGCGUGACCGUGUCCGCACCGUGUUCCUGGUAUUUACAGUCUUACGAAAACCGCACUAAAGGCCCGUUUUUGCAGCUAUUUGAGGUGCGGUUUUUGUAGAGAUUUUGGUCAAAUUCAAGAAUGGCAAGGAAUAAACUUCCAGCUAAGUUGACUUUCAAGACAAACUUAAGUUGUCCCAGUCAAUCUUUACGGGUGAAUCAGCGCUCCUGUCAUCAAUGAGAGCUGUCAUCGUCCGAUGAAAAUCAACUCUACAUCCUCUCUUGAUCCACCAUGUUGGACAUUGCUGGAAACGUGGGGAAUGACGAAGAGUUGUGCUGCACACAAACCUAGUACGGCGUAGGCCAACACUGAAACAAAAAUUUGGUGAAAUAUUAUUCUCUUAACUCAUCAAUAACCUUUUAAUUUUUUUGCUAAUUAUCUAAAUUCCUCGCGUUUUUCCAAUUUUACUUGCAGCGUUUGAAAAGACACACCAAUAGAUCUUCUCAGCAAGGGUGUACUUUUUGCCCAUUUCAGACCACGUGUCAUAAUUCCCUGGAACAUCAUUCCUUUGUUUAACGAUUGCGCAUGAGAAGUGUACAAAUCAAGGCAAAGAAUCUUAUUCUCAAGAAAAGAUUGGCCUUCAGUUCACACGAAUAAGCCACUUAAAAACUUUUCGAAAACGCAAUGCGUGGACCAAUUAUUUUUUUCUUUCAAAACAAGGAAUAAAACAAUUUCUUUACAAA